Molecule: ribosomal RNA, 1663 nt
Filed under: marine metagenome
Description: bacterial LSU rRNA
Rfam family: Bacterial large subunit ribosomal RNA
Source: RNAcentral
UGGUGGGGGGGGUUUGGUGUUGGAGGGGGGGGGAGGGUGGGGGGGUGCGGACGGCAUAUCGUCGGCAGCGUCAGAUGGGUAUAAGGGACAGGUCGGAGCUUUUUAGACCGUUCGCGGUUUAGAUGGUGACGGCGUACCUUUUGUAUAAUGGGUCAGCGAGUUAAUUUCUGUGGCAAGCUUAACUUUUUUAAGGUAGGCGAAGGGAAACCGAGUCUUAAUAGGGCGAAUCAGUCUCAGGUAUUAGACGCGAAACCGGACGAUCUAUCCAUGGCCAGGGUGAAGGUGAGGUAACACUUACUGGAGGCCCGAACCCACCUAUGUUGAAAAAUGGGGGGAUGAGCUGUGGAUCGGAGUGAAAGGCUAAUCAAGUUCGGAGAUAUCUCGUUCUCCCCGAAAUCUAUUUAGGUAGAGCCUCUCAUAUUACUGUUGGGGGUAGAGCACUGUUUCGGCUAGGGGGUCAUCCCGACUUACCAACCCGAUGCAAACUCCGAAUACCAACAAGUACAGUGAGGGAGACAGACUGCGGGUGCUAACGUCCGUAGUCGAGAGGGAAACAACCCAGAUCGCCAGCUAAGGUCCCAAAGUAUGAUUAAGUGGGAAACGUAGUAGGAAGGCAUAAACAGCUAGGAGGUUGGCUUAGAAGCAGCCACCCUUUAAAGAAAGCGUAACAGCUCACUAGUCGAGUCGGCCUGCGCGGAAGAUGUACCGGGGCUAAAUCAUACACCGAAGCUGCGAAUAGAAAUACGGUUCGCCGUAUUCCUAUGGUAGGGGAGCGUUCUGUAUGCCACUGAAGGUAAAUCGAGAGGUUUAUUGGAGGUAUCAGAAGUGAGAAUGCUGACAUAAGUAACGAUAAGAGGGGUGAAAAACCCCUCCGCCGAAAACCCAAGGUUUCCUGUUCAACGUUAAUCGGAACAGGGUGAGUCGACCCCUAAGGCGAGGGCGAAAGCCGUAGUCGAUGGGAAAUAGGUUAAUAUUCCUAUACUUCUUGUUACUGCGAUGGAGUGACGGAGAAGGCUAGGCCAGCACAGCGACGGUAGUUCUGUGUUUAAAGUUGUAGGUUGGAGAUUUAGGUAAAUCCGGAUCUCUAAGACCGAGAACUGAUGACGAUUAUCUUUUCGGAGAUAAGAAGUGGUUGAUGCCAUGCUUCCAGGAAAAACUUCUAAGCUAUAGGUAGCAAGGAAUCGUACCGCAAACCGACACAGGUGGGUAGGUAGAGAAUACUAAGGCGCUUGAGAGAACUCGGGUGAAGGAACUAGGCAAAAUGGUACCGUAACUUCGGGAGAAGGUACGCCUUUAUUGGUGAUGAAACUUGCUUUCUGAGCUGAUGAGGGUCUCAGUAGAAUGGUGGCUGCGACUGUUUAUUAAAAACACAGCACUCUGCAAACUCGAAAGAGGAAGUAUAUGGUGUGACGCCUGCCCGGUGCCGGAAGGUUAAUUGAUGGGGUUAGUCUUCGGACGAAGCUCUUGAUCGAAGCCCCGGUGAACGGCGGCCGUAACUAUAACGGUCCUAAGGUAGCGAAAUUCCUUGUCGGGUAAGUUCCGACCUGCACGAAUGGCGUAACGAUGGCCACACUGUCUCCACCAGAGACUCAGUGAAAUUGAAAUCGCUGUUAAGAUGCAGCGUACCCGCGGCAAGACGGAAAGACCCCGUGCACCUUUACUA